Molecule: ribosomal RNA, 492 nt
Filed under: uncultured bacterium
Lineage: Bacteria
Description: partial 16S ribosomal RNA
Rfam family: Bacterial small subunit ribosomal RNA
Source: RNAcentral
AGUGAACGCUGGCGGUAGGCCUAACACAUGCAAGUCGAACGGCAGCACAGUAAGAGCUUGCUCUUACGGGUGGCGAGUGGCGGACGGGUGAGGAAUACAUCGGAAUCUACUUUUUCGUGGGGGAUAACGUAGGGAAACUUACGCUAAUACCGCAUACGACCUACGGGUGAAAGCAGGGGAUCUUCGGACCUUGCGCGAUUGAAUGAGCCGAUGUCGGAUUAGCUAGUUGGCGGGGUAAAGGCCCACCAAGGCGACGAUCCGUAGCUGGUCGGAGAGGAUGAUCAGCGACACUGGAACUGAGACACGGUCCAGACUCCUAAGGGAGGCAGCAGUGGGGAAUAGUAGACAAUGGGCGCAAGCAUGAUCCAGCCAUACCGCGUGGGUGAAGAAGGCCUUCGGGUUGUAAAGCCCUUUUGUUGGGAAAGAAAAGCAGCAGGUUAAGACCCAGCUGUUCUGACGGUACCCAAAGAAUAAGCACCGGCUAACUUCGUG